GUCUUACUCUGUCAGCUAAGCUGGAGUGCAGUGCAGUGAUGCGAUCGUGUAGUCUCGACCUCCUGGUCUCAAGUGAUUCUCCCACCUCAGCCUCCUGAGUAGCUGGGACUACAGUCGUGCACCACCUCAUCCAGUUAGUUUCAAAAACUUUUUUGUAGAGACAGGGUCUCACUGUGUUGCCGGGCUGGUCCUGAACUCCUGGCCUCAAGUGAUUCUUCUGCCUUAGCCUCCCAAAGUGCUGGGAUUAUAGGCAUGAACCGCUGCACCUGACUUACACCUGUUUUUAAUUGCUAUGCUAUACUGCAUAUUAGCCUUCACUAAGGUGAUUUACACUUUAAAUCAUUUGAACAGCAACUCAGAUGUACCACUGGAUUAAGCAAAGCAAGUGACUCCUUGGUUUUCAAUGUUCUAGUCUGGAAAAUGUCCAUAAUGGAAUCUAACACAUAGGGUUAUUUUUAGGGUUAAAGUUGUUAAUAUAUAUGAAAUAUCUAUUAAUUGUUAAGUCAUAUCCUAGCUAUUAAUAGAUAUUUAUACUAUGAACAAAGUUCAUGCUUAAGAAAUGUUAGUUCUCUUCUUUCUUUGCCACUUUCCUGUCCAAUCUAUAAUGCAUAUUAGCUCAAAUUUUGUGCAAUUCAAAGGAGAUAAACCAGUGACUGUCAUGACUAGUUUUACCCACCCCAUUCAAAAAGAUAAAACGUAUUUUAUUGAGGAUAUUUUAUAAAGAAAUUUCCAGCAUGUCUGAAGACAAUAGUGAGCAAAGUGUUGUGGAUUCAUGGAGGAAAAAAAGGAGCUUUAUCCUCAGAACCAGGAGGCAGAGAAAGAAAUUUGGGAAAGUCUCAUGGAGGGGAUGGUACUUUCAUUUAAGCUUCACAGAAAAAAUUCGGAAAAGUGGAGAAGGAAGCAACUGCAUUUUUUUUCUGAUACAGAAGCUGCAUUAGCAAAGGCAAACAAUACGCUGCAGGACUGUUGGAUCAGAGGGAGGAACAGCUACGCCUGGGAGUGGUUUCAAUGUAAGAGAAGUAUAAAGCUUGCUGGUGGCAGUUGA
RNAcentral lists this long non-coding RNA (1045 nucleotides) under Macaca mulatta (Rhesus monkey). RNAcentral describes it as "lncRNA (ENSMMUG00000054187.1)". Lineage: Eukaryota; Metazoa; Chordata; Mammalia; Primates; Cercopithecidae. The record is from RNAcentral.